AGCCCAUUGGCCAAGCAGUAAGGCAUACGACUUUGACUCGUACAUCUGCAGGUGCAAAUCCCGCAUGGGCUG
RNAcentral lists this transfer RNA (72 nucleotides) under Clostridium sp. chh4-2. It matches the Rfam family "tRNA". Rfam says of the family: Transfer RNA (tRNA) molecules are approximately 80 nucleotides in length. The record is from Rfam by way of RNAcentral. Lineage: Bacteria; Bacillati; Bacillota; Clostridia; Eubacteriales; Clostridiaceae.